GGCUACCGCGCAGCAGUUCUUCAGUGGCAUGCUUUACGUCUCCCCUCUCGCAACUAAAGCUGCCAGUUGAAGAACUGUUGGCCGUGGCU
Molecule: non-coding RNA, 89 nt
Organism: Podarcis lilfordi (Lilford's wall lizard)
Lineage: Eukaryota; Metazoa; Chordata; Lepidosauria; Squamata; Lacertidae
Source: the annotation of a GenBank genome assembly